UUAAGUUCAGCGGGUAUCCCUACCUGAUCCGAGGUCAAACGAAUGAAUGGCUUAAUGGGAGUUGGUAGGCUGGAGCCGCUGCGCAAUGUGCUGCGCACGAAGCCAAAUCUACUAGCUGCCAAUGAAUUUGAGGCGAGUCCACGCACAGAGGCGGGACAAUCACCCAACACCAAGCUUAGCUUGAAGGAUUUCUAAUGACG
RNAcentral lists this unclassified non-coding RNA (200 nucleotides) under Ascomycota sp. RNAcentral's name for it is "partial internal transcribed spacer 2". The record is from RNAcentral. Lineage: Eukaryota; Fungi; Ascomycota.